This is a long non-coding RNA of Lolium rigidum, 175 nucleotides long. RefSeq lists it as uncharacterized. Lineage: Eukaryota; Viridiplantae; Streptophyta; Magnoliopsida; Poales; Poaceae. The transcript has 3 exons. The record is from RefSeq and is a predicted model, not a curated record.
GGCCAGUUCAAGUUGUCAACAAUGUGCCACAACAAAAAGACGGGAUUUCAUGUGGACUCUAUGCGCUCAAGAACAUGGCAAACUGGAUAGGACACGAGCUAUCACAAAAUUUUACACAGGCCGACAUUGACAAGUUCAGGAAAGAACUCCCAGCUCUCAUAGUAGAUUCUCCACU